This 26-nucleotide non-coding RNA is filed under the name Rattus norvegicus (Norway rat). The record is from RNAcentral. Lineage: Eukaryota; Metazoa; Chordata; Mammalia; Rodentia; Muridae.
UGAAGACUUGUCUCCAAAACAAUUUU